Molecule: ribosomal RNA, 3041 nt
Filed under: Klebsiella oxytoca
Lineage: Bacteria; Pseudomonadati; Pseudomonadota; Gammaproteobacteria; Enterobacterales; Enterobacteriaceae
Description: 23S ribosomal RNA
Rfam family: Bacterial large subunit ribosomal RNA
Source: RNAcentral
GGGUUGUGAGGUUAAGCGACUAAGCGUACACGGUGGAUGCCCUGGCAGUCAGAGGCGAUGAAGGACGUGCUAAUCUGCGAAAAGCGUCGGUAAGGUGAUAUGAACCGUUAUAACCGGCGAUGUCCGAAUGGGGAAACCCAGUGCAAUUCGUUGCACUAUCGUUAACUGAAUACAUAGGUUAACGAGGCGAACCGGGGGAACUGAAACAUCUAAGUACCCCGAGGAAAAGAAAUCAACCGAGAUUCCCCCAGUAGCGGCGAGCGAACGGGGAGCAGCCCGGAGUCUGAAUCAGCUUGUGUGUUAGUGGAAGCGUCUGGAAAGUCGCAGGGUACAGGGUGAUACUCCCGUACACUAAAACACACAGGUUGUGAACUCGAAGAGUAGGGCGGGACACGUGGUAUCCUGUCUGAAUAUGGGGGGACCAUCCUCCAAGGCUAAAUACUCCUGACUGACCGAUAGUGAACCAGUACCGUGAGGGAAAGGCGAAAAGAACCCCGGCGAGGGGAGUGAAAAAGAACCUGAAACCGUGUACGUACAAGCAGUAGGAGCCCCACCACCAAAGCGUUUCGCUUUGCGUGGUGCGCAAAAUGCGUAACGACAGCAUGAUGGACGGUUAACGGAGCGUCAGCGACGUUCAACCUCAAAAAUCAGGCAGUGGAGCGUUUUGGGGUGGGGUGACUGCGUACCUUUUGUAUAAUGGGUCAGCGACUUAUAUUCUGUAGCAAGGUUAACCGAAUAGGGGAGCCGCAGGGAAACCGAGUCUUAACUGGGCGUUAAGUUGCAGGGUAUAGACCCGAAACCCGGUGAUCUAGCCAUGGGCAGGUUGAAGGUUGGGUAACACUAACUGGAGGACCGAACCGACUAAUGUUGAAAAAUUAGCGGAUGACUUGUGGCUGGGGGUGAAAGGCCAAUCAAACCGGGAGAUAGCUGGUUCUCCCCGAAAGCUAUUUAGGUAGCGCCUCGUGAACUCAUCUUCGGGGGUAGAGCACUGUUUCGGCUAGGGGGUCAUCCCGACUUACCAACCCGAUGCAAACUACGAAUACCGAAGAAUGUUAUCACGGGAGACACACGGCGGGUGCUAACGUCCGUCGUGAAGAGGGAAACAACCCAGACCGCCAGCUAAGGUCCCAAAGUCAUGGUUAAGUGGGAAACGAUGUGGGAAGGCCCAGACAGCCAGGAUGUUGGCUUAGAAGCAGCCAUCAUUUAAAGAAAGCGUAAUAGCUCACUGGUCGAGUCGGCCUGCGCGGAAGAUGUAACGGGGCUAAACCAUGCACCGAAGCUGCGGCAGCGACACUAUGUGUUGUUGGGUAGGGGAGCGUUCUGUAAGCCGUUGAAGGUGGCCUGUGAGGGUUGCUGGAGGUAUCAGAAGUGCGAAUGCUGACAUAAGUAACGAUAAUGCGGGUGAAAAACCCGCACGCCGGAAGACCAAGGGUUCCUGUCCAACGUUAAUCGGGGCAGGGUGAGUCGACCCCUAAGGCGAGGCCGAAAGGCGUAGUCGAUGGGAAACAGGUUAAUAUUCCUGUACUUGGUGUUACUGCGAAGGGGGGACGGAGAAGGCUAUGUUGGCCGGGCGACGGUUGUCCCGGUUUAAGCAUGUAGGCGGAUGUUCCAGGUAAAUCCGGAACGUUACUAACGCUGAGGUGUGAUGACGAGGCACUACGGUGCUGAAGUGACAAAUGCCCUGCUUCCAGGAAAAGCCUCUAAGCAUCAGGUAACAUCAAAUCGUACCCCAAACCGACACAGGUGGUCAGGUAGAGAAUACCAAGGCGCUUGAGAGAACUCGGGUGAAGGAACUAGGCAAAAUGGUGCCGUAACUUCGGGAGAAGGCACGCUGACGGUAGGUGAAGUGACUUGCUCAUGGAGCUGAAAUCAGUCGAAGAUACCAGCUGGCUGCAACUGUUUAUUAAAAACACAGCACUGUGCAAACACGAAAGUGGACGUAUACGGUGUGACGCCUGCCCGGUGCCGGAAGGUUAAUUGAUGGGGUUAUCCUCACGGAGAAGCUCUUGAUCGAAGCCCCGGUAAACGGCGGCCGUAACUAUAACGGUCCUAAGGUAGCGAAAUUCCUUGUCGGGUAAGUUCCGACCUGCACGAAUGGCGUAAUGAUGGCCAGGCUGUCUCCACCCGAGACUCAGUGAAAUUGAACUCGCUGUGAAGAUGCAGUGUACCCGCGGCAAGACGGAAAGACCCCGUGAACCUUUACUAUAGCUUGACACUGAACACUGGUCCUUGAUGUGUAGGAUAGGUGGGAGGCUUUGAAGUGUGGACGCCAGUCUGCAUGGAGCCAUCCUUGAAAUACCACCCUUUAAUGGCUGGUGUUCUAACGUGGGCCCGUGAUCCGGGUUGCGGACAGUGUCUGGUGGGUAGUUUGACUGGGGCGGUCUCCUCCUAAAGAGUAACGGAGGAGCACGAAGGUCAGCUAAUCCUGGUCGGACAUCAGGAGGUUAGUGCAAUGGCAUAAGCUGGCUUGACUGCGAGCGUGACGGCGCGAGCAGGUGCGAAAGCAGGUCAUAGUGAUCCGGUGGUUCUGAAUGGAAGGGCCAUCGCUCAACGGAUAAAAGGUACUCCGGGGAUAACAGGCUGAUACCGCCCAAGAGUUCAUAUCGACGGCGGUGUUUGGCACCUCGAUGUCGGCUCAUCACAUCCUGGGGCUGAAGUAGGUCCCAAGGGUAUGGCUGUUCGCCAUUUAAAGUGGUACGCGAGCUGGGUUUAGAACGUCGUGAGACAGUUCGGUCCCUAUCUGCCGUGGGCGCUGGAGAAUUGAGGGGGGCUGCUCCUAGUACGAGAGGACCGGAGUGGACGCAUCACUGGUGUUCGGGUUGUCAUGCCAAUGGCAUUGCCCGGUAGCUAAAUGCGGAAGAGAUAAGUGCUGAAAGCAUCUAAGCACGAAACUUGCCCCGAGAUGAGUUCUCCCUGACUCCUUGAGAGUCCUGAAGGAACGUUGAAGACGACGACGUUGAUAGGCCGGGUGUGUAAGCGCAGCGAUGCGUUGAGCUAACCGGUACUAAUGAACCGUGAGGCUUAACCUUACAACGCCGAAG